The sequence is a regulatory RNA element, 37 nucleotides long. It matches the Rfam family "DUF805b RNA". From Rfam's summary of the family: Bacteroidetes, Chlorobi (1 example), Proteobacteria. Lineage (Flavobacteria) The record is from Rfam.
AAAGGGAUGCUCCGAAAACCUUGUAAUAGAGUAGGUA